GGGGAUGUAAUGGUUUCGACGGGGAAUGUGAACAUUGGCAAGCGGGCGGUGGCAUUGCGGAACCACCUUAAAAUCCGUAAAUCUUUAAAUAAUAAACGACAGAAAAACACCUGUUGCUCUUGCCGCUUAAUUAGGCAAGCGUCCUGACCGGGAGCACCACGUACCGGUCCGGGCGUCGAUUUAGUGGUGAACGUGAAUGCAGGAACGGCUCGGUCUGCAUCACGGCUCAGAGCCUACCGAAGCGUACAGCCUGUUUGUCGGCGGUACGACGGGGGAAUCCCAAAAGACAGACUGCGCCCGGAGAAAACCUUUGGGAAGGUUUCUCGGACAGGAGUUCGAUUCUCCUCAUCUCCAC
Molecule: transfer-messenger RNA, 355 nt
Filed under: bovine gut metagenome
Rfam family: transfer-messenger RNA
About the family: Bacterial tmRNA, also known as 10Sa RNA or SsrA, is named for its dual tRNA and mRNA-like properties. Its role is to liberate the mRNA from a stalled ribosome. To accomplish this part of the tmRNA is used as a reading frame that ends in a translation stop signal.
Source: RNAcentral